Molecule: small RNA, 93 nt
Filed under: Sinorhizobium meliloti 2011
Lineage: Bacteria; Pseudomonadati; Pseudomonadota; Alphaproteobacteria; Hyphomicrobiales; Rhizobiaceae
Description: putative ncRNA
Source: RNAcentral
GCGCUGUAGUCGCUCAAUGGAGAACUGGCGAGCCCAAGGCUCGUCCCUUCGCCCCGCUCGCGGGGAGAAGGUGCCGGCAUGCGGAUGAGGGGC